AAAUUGUGACGGAAAUCGAAUGUGACAAUGAAAAAAUUGUGUUUGCCAUCUUGACUGCUACGAUAACAGUGACAGCCAUUCUGAUCACGUUUGGUUUGCUUUUGAAGAUGAUUACUGACCAUGAAAAGGCAUUGGGAGUGGAUGCUGAUGCAGAGUGCUUCACCACGGUCAUCUACCAGUGGAUACCAGAGGAGAUUGCUGAAGAGGAAGAUGGGGCAACAUCAAUCUACACCUGCCCUGGAGACAUUCUCUGAAGA
Engraulis encrasicolus (European anchovy) is the source of this 257-nucleotide long non-coding RNA. RefSeq lists it as uncharacterized. The transcript has 3 exons. The record is from RefSeq and is a predicted model, not a curated record. NCBI's taxonomy places the organism in Eukaryota, Metazoa, Chordata, Actinopteri, Clupeiformes, Engraulidae.